CCUACGGGUGGCUGCAGUGGGGAAUAUUGCGCAAUGGGCGAUAGCCUGACGCAGCGACGCCGCGUGAGGGAUGAAGGUCUUCUGAUCUUAAACCUCUGUCAACAUGGAAGUACGGUCCCUGUUCUAAUCAGCAUUGAAUUGACCUUACCUGCAAAGGAAGCACCGGCUAACUCCGUGCCAGCAGCAGCGGUAAUACGUAGGGGGCAAGCGUUAUCCGGAUUUACUGGGUGUAAAGGGAGCGUAGACGGUUAAUCAAGUCAGAAGUGAAAACCCAGGGCUCAACCUUUGGAUUGCUUUUGAAACUGAGUAGCUAGAGUGCAGGAGAGGUAAGCGGAAUUCGUAGUGUAGCGGUGAAAUGCGUAGAUAUUAGGAGGAACACCAGUGGCGAAGGCGGCUUACUGGACUGUAACUGACGUUGAGGCUCGAAAGCGUGGGGAGCAAACAGGAUUAGAUACCCUAGUAGUC
Molecule: ribosomal RNA, 465 nt
Filed under: uncultured bacterium
Lineage: Bacteria
Description: partial 16S ribosomal RNA
Rfam family: Bacterial small subunit ribosomal RNA
Source: RNAcentral